RNAcentral lists this transfer RNA (72 nucleotides) under Volvocales sp. NrCl902. Its description in RNAcentral is "tRNA-Val". It matches the Rfam family "tRNA". Rfam says of the family: Transfer RNA (tRNA) molecules are approximately 80 nucleotides in length. Lineage: Eukaryota; Viridiplantae; Chlorophyta; Chlorophyceae; Chlamydomonadales. The record is from RNAcentral.
AGGCCAAUAACUCAGCGGUAGAGUGUCGGCCUUACAAGCCGCGAGUCAUCGGUUCAAAUCCGAUUUGGCCUA